AGGGCACCACCAGGAGUGGAGCCUGCGGCUUAAUUUGACUCAACACGGGGAAACUCACCCGGCCCGGACACCGUAAGGAUUGACAGAUUGAUAGCUUUUUCAUGAUUCGGUGGAUGGUGGUGCAUGGCCGUUCUUAGUUCGUGGAGCGAUUUGUCUGGUUUAUUCCGAUAACGAGCGAGACUCUAGCCUACUAAAUAGUUCGCACAUUGUCUCUGUGUGUGUGACUUCUUAGAGGGACUUUCGGUGUUCAGCCGCACGAAAUUGAGCAAUAACAGGUCUGUGAUGCCCUUAGAUGUCCGGGGCUGCACGCGCGCUACACUGGCAAAAUCAGCGUGCUUGUCCUUCCCCGAAAGGGGUUGGUAAACCCUUGAAAAUUUGCCGUGAUUGGGAUUGGAAAUUGCAAUUAUUUUCCAUGAACGAGGAAUUCCAAGUAAGUGCGAGUCAUCAGCUCGCGUUGAUUACGUCCCUGCCCUUUGUACACACCGCCCGUCGCUGCCCGGGACUGAGCCAUUUCGAGAA
Molecule: ribosomal RNA, 519 nt
Filed under: uncultured eukaryote
Lineage: Eukaryota
Description: SSU rRNA
Rfam family: Eukaryotic small subunit ribosomal RNA
Source: RNAcentral